Molecule: ribosomal RNA, 368 nt
Filed under: uncultured bacterium
Lineage: Bacteria
Description: bacterial SSU rRNA
Rfam family: Bacterial small subunit ribosomal RNA
Source: RNAcentral
GGGGAUAACCUUGCGAAAGUAAGACUAAUACCCAAUGAUAUCCCACGAAGGCAUCCGAAUGGAUUAAAGAUUUAUCGGUGAUGGAUGGGGAUGCGUCUGAUUAGCUUGUUGGCGGGUAACGGCCCACCAAGGCUACGAUCAGUAGGGGUUCUGAGAGGAAGGUCCCCCACAUUGGAACUGAGACACGGUCCAAACUCCUACGGGAGGCAGCAGUGAGGAAUAUUGGUCAAUGGGCGAGAGCCUGAACCAGCCAAGUAGCGUGCAGGAUGACGGCCCUAUGGGUUGUAAACUGCUUUUAUAAGGGAAUAAAGUGGGUCUCGUGAGACUUUUUGCAUGUACCUUAUGAAUAAGGACCGGCUAAUUCCGUG